GAUGAAGAACGUAGUGAAAUGCGAUAAGUAGUGUGAAUUGCAGAAUUCAGUGAAUCAUCGAAUCUUUGAACGCACAUUGCGCCCUUUGGUAUUCCAAAGGGCAUGCCUGUUCGAGCGUCAUUUGUACCCUCAAGCUUUGCUUGGUGUUGGGCGUCUUGUCUCUAGCUUUGCUGGAGACUCGCCUUAAAGUAAUUGGCAGCCGGCCUACUGGUUUCGGAGCGCAGCACAAGUCGCACUCUCUAUCAGCAAAGGUAUAGCAUCCAUUAAGCCUUUUUUUCAACUUUUGACCUCGGAUCAGGUAGGGAUACCCGCUGAACUUAAGCAUAUCAAUAAGCGGAGGA
Molecule: unclassified non-coding RNA, 341 nt
Filed under: soil metagenome
Description: partial contains 5.8S ribosomal RNA, internal transcribed spacer 2, and large subunit ribosomal RNA
Rfam family: 5.8S ribosomal RNA (bases 1-120)
Source: RNAcentral